This 638-nucleotide ribosomal RNA is filed under the name uncultured Streptomyces sp. Its description in RNAcentral is "bacterial SSU rRNA". It matches the Rfam family "Bacterial small subunit ribosomal RNA", at positions 8 to 657 of the family's 1533-position model. Lineage: Bacteria; Bacillati; Actinomycetota; Actinomycetes; Kitasatosporales; Streptomycetaceae. The record is from RNAcentral.
AGAGUUUGAUCCUGGCUCAGGACGAACGCUGGCGGCGUGCUCUACGCAUGCAAGUUCAACGAUGAACCUACNCCAGGAGGGGAUUAGUGGCGAACGGGUGAGUAACACGUGGGCAAUCUGCCCUUCUCUCUGGGACAAGCCCUGGAAACGGGGUCUAAUACCGGAUACGACUACCGACCGCAUGGUCUGGUGGUGGAAAGCUCCAGCGGUGAAGGAUGAGCCCGCGGCCUAUCUGCCCGUUGGUGGGGUGAUGACCCACUAAGGCGACGACGGGUAGCAGGCCCGAGGGGGCGACCGGCCACACUGGGAUUGAGACACGGCCCAGACUCCUACGGGAGGCAGCAGUGGGGAAUAUUUCACAGCAGACGAAAGCCUGACACAGCGACGCCGCGUGAGGGAUAACCGCCUACGAGUUGUAAACCUCUUUCAGCAGGGAAGAAGCGAGAGUGACGGUACCCGCAGAAAUAAUUCCGGACAACUACGUGCUCGCACCCGCGGUAAUACGUAGGGCGCAAGCGUUAUCCGCGGCUGCUGGGCGUAAAGAGCACGUAGUUAGCUUGUCACGUCGGAUGUGAAAGCCCGGUGCUUUUCCCCGGGUCUGCAUUCGGUACCGUCGGCAAGCCGAAGCCCUGUAGGGG